RNAcentral lists this ribosomal RNA (509 nucleotides) under Ilybius meridionalis. RNAcentral's name for it is "partial 16S ribosomal RNA". It matches the Rfam family "Bacterial large subunit ribosomal RNA", at positions 1829 to 2597 of the family's 2925-position model. Lineage: Eukaryota; Metazoa; Arthropoda; Insecta; Coleoptera; Dytiscidae. The record is from RNAcentral.
GUCCUUUUGAGAUUUAUUUAAGGUUUAACCUGCCCACUGAUUUAUUGAAGGGCCGCAGUAUUUUGACUGUGCAAAGGUAGCAUAAUCAUUAGUUUUUUAAUUAAAAGCUUGUAUGAAGGGUUGGACGAGGUAAAUUCUGUCUCUGAAUAAUUAAUUUUAGAAUUUAAUUUUUGAGUUAAAAAGCUUAAAUUAAUUUAAAAGACGAGAAGACCCUAUAGAUCUUUAUAAUAAAUUUAUUAGUUAUAUAUAGGAUUAUUUAAUUAGUUAAUAGAUUUAUUAUUUUAUUGGGGUAAUAAAAAGAUUUAAAUAAUUCUUUUUUUAUUAUAACAUUAAUAAAUGAAUUUAUGAUCCAAUAUUAUUGAUUAUAAGAUUAAGUUACCUUAGGGAUAACAGCGUAAUUUUUUUAGAGAGUUCUUAUCGAUAAAAAAGUUUGCGACCUCGAUGUUGGAUUAAAAAUUAUUUUAGGUGUAGAAGCUUGAAAUUUUGGUCUGUUCGACCAUUAAAUUUUU